This 76-nucleotide transfer RNA is filed under the name Dunaliella salina. RNAcentral describes it as "tRNA-Met". It matches the Rfam family "tRNA". From Rfam's summary of the family: Transfer RNA (tRNA) molecules are approximately 80 nucleotides in length. Their secondary structure includes four short double-helical elements and three loops (D, anti-codon, and T loops). Lineage: Eukaryota; Viridiplantae; Chlorophyta; Chlorophyceae; Chlamydomonadales; Dunaliellaceae. The record is from RNAcentral.
AGGCGCUUAGCUUAGUCAGGCCUAAAGCACUGGUCUCAUAAGCCAGCUAUCGUGGGUUCGAAUCCGACAGCGCCUA